AACGCGAAGAACCUUACCUGGCCUUGACAUGCAAGUAGUAGAACCAUGAAAGUGGGACGAGGUAGCAAUACCAGCUUGCACAGGUGCUGCAUGGCUGUCGUCAGCUCGUGUCGUGAGAUGUUGGGUUAAGUCCCGCAACGAGCGCAACCCUUGUCCCUAGUUGCCAGCACGUAAUGGUGGGAACUCUAGGGAGACCGCCGGUGACAAACCGGAGGAAGGUGGGGAUGACGUCAAGUCCUCAUGGCCCUUACGGCCAGGGCUACACACGUACUACAAUGGUGGGUACAAAGGGUUGCCAAGCCGCGAGGUGGAGCCAAUCCCAGAAAACCCAUCUCAGUCCGGAUCGGAGUCUGCAACUCGACUCCGUGAAGUCGGAAUCGCUAGUAAUCGCGGAUCAGCAAUGCCGCGGUGAAUACGUUCCCGGGCCUUGUACACACCGACAUA
Molecule: ribosomal RNA, 444 nt
Filed under: uncultured bacterium
Lineage: Bacteria
Description: bacterial SSU rRNA
Rfam family: Bacterial small subunit ribosomal RNA
Source: RNAcentral